AUUCCAGCUCCAAUAGCGUAUAUUAAAGUUGUUGCAGUUAAAAAGCUCGUAGUUGGGUUUCUGGUCUCUGUGUGAUGGUCCGCCGUGAGGUGAGCACUGUUGCUGGGGACCUUCUUCUUGAAGGGGUGUGGUGUUCUUAACUGAGUGCUGCAUUUAUUCAAGACCUUUACUUUGAAAAAAUUAGAGUGUUCAAAGCAGGCGUUUUGCUUGAAAACAUUAGCAUGGAAUAAUGGAAUAGGACUAGGGUUCUAUUUUGUCGGUUUCUAGGACUUUAGUAAUGAUUAAUAGGGAUAGUUGGGGGCAUUAGUAUUUAAUUGUCAGAGGUGAAAUUCUUGGAUUUAUGAAAGACUAACUUCUGCGAAAGCAUUUGCCAAGGAUGUUUUCAUU
RNAcentral lists this ribosomal RNA (387 nucleotides) under Choanoflagellata sp. Its description in RNAcentral is "partial small subunit ribosomal RNA". It matches the Rfam family "Eukaryotic small subunit ribosomal RNA", at positions 582 to 974 of the family's 1831-position model. The record is from RNAcentral. Lineage: Eukaryota; Choanoflagellata.